ACGAACGCUGGCGGCAUGCCUAACACCUGCAAGUCGAACGAGACCUUCGGGUCUAGUGGCGCACGGGUGCGUAACGCGUGGGAACCUGCCCUUAGGUUCGGAAUAACUCCCCGAAAGGGGUGCUAAUACCGGAUAAUGUCUUCGGACCAAAGAUUUAUCGCCUUUGGAUGGGCCCGCGUUGGAUUAGCUAGUUGGUAGGGUAAAAGCCUACCAAGGCGACGAUCCGUAGCUGGUCUGAGAGGAUGAUCAGCCACACUGGGACUGAGACACGGCCCAGACUCCUACGGGAGGCAGCAGUGGGGAAUAUUGGACAAUGGGCGAAAGCCUGAUCCAGCAAUGCCGCGUGAGUGAUGAAGGCCUUAGGGCUGUAAAGCUCUUUUACCCGGGAUGAUAAUGACAGUACCGGGAGAAUAAGCUCCGGCUAACUCCGUG
Molecule: ribosomal RNA, 432 nt
Filed under: uncultured bacterium
Lineage: Bacteria
Description: partial 16S ribosomal RNA
Rfam family: Bacterial small subunit ribosomal RNA
Source: RNAcentral